Molecule: ribosomal RNA, 250 nt
Filed under: uncultured bacterium
Lineage: Bacteria
Description: partial 16S ribosomal RNA
Rfam family: Bacterial small subunit ribosomal RNA
Source: RNAcentral
UACGAAGGUGGCAAGCGUUACUCGGAAUUACUAGGCGUAAAGGGCAGGUAGGUGGUUUGGUAAGUCUGUUGUGAAAUCUCCCGGCUUAACUGGGAGAGGCCAACAGAUACUACCAGGCUUGAGUAUAGGAGAGGGUACUGGAAUUCCCGGUGUAGCGGUGAAAUGCGCAGAGAUCGGGAGGAACACCAAUGGCGAAAGCAGGUACCUGGACUAUUACUGACACUCAGCUGCGAAAGCUAGGGGAGCAAAC